This 448-nucleotide ribosomal RNA is filed under the name uncultured bacterium. RNAcentral's name for it is "SSU rRNA". It matches the Rfam family "Bacterial small subunit ribosomal RNA", at positions 26 to 518 of the family's 1533-position model. The record is from RNAcentral.
AGAACGAACGCUGGCGGCAUGCCUAACACAUGCAAGUCGAACGCCUGUAGCAAUACAGGAGUGGCGCACGGGUGAGUAACGCGUGGGAACCUACCCUGGAGUGGGGGAUAACCGAGAGAAAUUUCGGCUAAUACCGCAUACGACCUGAGGGUGAAAGAUUUAUCGCUCUAGGAGGGGCCCGCGUCGGAUUAGCUAGUUGGUGGGGUAACGGCCUACCAAGGCAACGAUCCGUAGCUGGUCUGAGAGGAUGAUCAGCCACACUGGGACUGAGACACGGCCCAGACUCCUACGGGAGGCAGCAGUGGGGAAUAUUGGACAAUGGGGGCAACCCUGAUCCAGCAAUGCCGCGUGAGUGAUGAAGGCCUUAGGGUUGUAAAGCUCUUUCGGCGGGGACGAUGAUGACGGUACCCGCAGAAGAAGCCCCGGCUAACUUCGUGCCAGCAGCCGC